UACAGAGGGUGCGAGCGUUGUCCGGAAUCGCUGGGCGUAAAGGGCGCGUAGGUGGCGGCCCAAGUCCAUGGUGAAAGCUCGUCGCUCAACGACGAGUCGGCCACGGAUACUGGGUUGCUCGAGCACUGUAGAGGCAGAUGGAAUUCCGGGUGUAGCGGUGGAAUGCGUAGAGAUCCGGAAGAACACCGGUGGCGAAGGCGGUCUGCUGGGCAGUAGCUGACACUGAGGCGCGACAGCGUGGGGAGCAAACAGG
RNAcentral lists this ribosomal RNA (253 nucleotides) under uncultured bacterium. RNAcentral describes it as "partial 16S ribosomal RNA". It matches the Rfam family "Bacterial small subunit ribosomal RNA", at positions 524 to 776 of the family's 1533-position model. The record is from RNAcentral.